RNAcentral lists this ribosomal RNA (490 nucleotides) under uncultured bacterium. RNAcentral describes it as "partial 16S ribosomal RNA". It matches the Rfam family "Bacterial small subunit ribosomal RNA", at positions 28 to 507 of the family's 1533-position model. The record is from RNAcentral.
GAUGAACGCUAGCUACAGGCUUAACACAUGCAAGUCGAGGGGAAACGAUGAGAGAGCUUGCUCUCUUAGGCGUCGACCGGCGCACGGGUGAGUAACGCGUAUCCAACCUACCCAUUACAGGGGGAUAACCUUGCGAAAGUAAGACUAAUACCCCAUGGCAUUUUAUGGUGGCAUCAUUAUAGGAUUAAAGAUUUAUUGGUAAUGGAUGGGGAUGCGUCUGAUUAGCUUGUUGGCGGGGUAACGGCCCACCAAGGCAACGAUCAGUAGGGGUUCUGAGAGGAAGGUCACCCACAUUGGAACUGAGACACGGUCCAAACGCCUACGGGAGGCAGCAGUGAGGAAUAUUGGGAAAUGGGCGAGAGCUUGAACCAGCCAAGUAGCGUGCAGGAUGACGGCACUAUGGGUUGUAAACUGCUUUUAUAGGGGAAUAAAGUGAGCUACGUGUAGUUUAUUGCAUGUACCCUAUGAAUAAGGACCGGCUAAUUCCGUG